This 54-nucleotide microRNA precursor is filed under the name Homo sapiens (human). RNAcentral describes it as "microRNA hsa-mir-10526 precursor". The record is from miRBase by way of RNAcentral. Lineage: Eukaryota; Metazoa; Chordata; Mammalia; Primates; Hominidae.
UCCCCUUAGUUUCCUUUAAGAGUGAUAAAAAUGGAAAAGGGGGCUGAGGUGGAG